RNAcentral lists this long non-coding RNA (310 nucleotides) under Carica papaya (papaya). Its description in RNAcentral is "long non-coding RNA (CPAP_LNC004277)". The record is from RNAcentral. Lineage: Eukaryota; Viridiplantae; Streptophyta; Magnoliopsida; Brassicales; Caricaceae.
UAGCCUCCAUAUAGGAUCUUAUAUUGGCCAAGACAUUAUCUAAGGUCAUUGUGAAAAUCUACAAGAAACGGUAAGUAAAGAAAAUAACACUCCUCAUGUGUUUCACUAUUUAUGUUUCAUUUAACCUCAUUCAUUCAAGUUGAAUAUCAGAAUUAAAUUCAUUUGAAUCGAGAUAAUCAAGUUUUGUUCAAUGAAUCCUAAUAGAGGAAAGUGGUAAACGAAUUUAGAUGAUCACAGAAGAUAAACACAUGGAUGAUAGAAGAUGAGAUGUGUUUAUUUACAAUGCUAAAUAACUAUAACGUAAUUAGCU